UUUAUUUUAUUUAUUUAUUUGAAUAGGGACAAUGCACAUUAAUGAACAUCAGUAUAAAAACAAAUGUAAAUAUGCCGGAUUAUAGCUACAAAGCUAGUUUUCAUCCGUAGUCCCUAGGCAGGCAAAUACAUAAGAAAGAAAAUAUAAUAUAUGAAAUAAACAACACAAGGGAAUGUUAAAAGUCUAGUGUAUCUAGUCUGUAUGUA
Molecule: long non-coding RNA, 206 nt
Organism: Thalassophryne amazonica
Lineage: Eukaryota; Metazoa; Chordata; Actinopteri; Batrachoidiformes; Batrachoididae
Exons: 3
Source: RefSeq, a predicted model, not a curated record